CUGGUUCAAGCGAUUCUCCUGCCUCAGCCUCCCGAGUAGCUGGGACUACAGGCCUCAUGGACAGGCUCCUGCCACCCACCACUCAGUCAGAAACCAGCCUCCCAGCUACCCGCUAACCCCGCUCUCAGCCCUCUCUCCCUGCACCACGGCCAAGAUGGCUUCAGUCCAAGCCCCGCUCCAGCCAGUCCCUCAUGCCUGCCCUCCGUGCAGCUGAUGUCGCCAGCCUCUGGAGGAAACCCAAGCCUGCUCUGAAGGGUUUCAGGAAGGUGCUCAGCUCUUGCAGAGGCAGCCGGGGCUCUUCAAAGUGCACCGUCUCACCCCUGGCCCCAGAUGGCACGUGCCUCUCUAACGGGACCAUGCCCCAGCUGACACUCACUCGACUCCCAACCACUGUCUCCUCCAGGAGGCCAAGGCCGCCCCAGGCUCCCUGCGGGUCACCACCUUCUCUGUCCAGUUCCGGGAAAGCACU
Molecule: long non-coding RNA, 469 nt
Filed under: Homo sapiens (human)
Lineage: Eukaryota; Metazoa; Chordata; Mammalia; Primates; Hominidae
Description: long non-coding RNA NONHSAT129751
Source: RNAcentral